Molecule: ribosomal RNA, 253 nt
Filed under: uncultured bacterium
Lineage: Bacteria
Description: partial 16S ribosomal RNA
Rfam family: Bacterial small subunit ribosomal RNA
Source: RNAcentral
GACGGAGGGUGCAAGUGUUAUCCGGAAUCACUGGGCGUAAAGCGUCUGUAGGUGGUUUAAUAAGUCAACUGUUAAAUCUUGAGGCUCAACCUCAAAAUCGCAGUCGAAACUAUUAGGCUAGAGUAUAGUAGGGGUAAAGGGAAUUUCCAGUGGAGCGGUGAAAUGCGUAGAGAUUGGAAAGAACACCGAUGGCGAAGGCACUUUACUGGGCUGACACUGACGCUGAACUGCGAAAGCUAGGGGAGCGAACGGG